RNAcentral lists this ribosomal RNA (321 nucleotides) under Salmonella enterica. RNAcentral describes it as "bacterial SSU rRNA". It matches the Rfam family "Bacterial small subunit ribosomal RNA", at positions 108 to 432 of the family's 1533-position model. The record is from RNAcentral. Lineage: Bacteria; Pseudomonadati; Pseudomonadota; Gammaproteobacteria; Enterobacterales; Enterobacteriaceae. RNAcentral also lists the same sequence under 5 other names.
GAGUAAUGUCUGGGAAACUGCCUGAUGGAGGGGGAUAACUACUGGAAACGGUGGCUAAUACCGCAUAACGUCGCAAGACCAAAGAGGGGGACCUUCGGGCCUCUUGCCAUCAGAUGUGCCCAGAUGGGAUUAGCUGGUAGGUGGGGUAACGGCUCACCUAGGCGACGAUCCCUAGCUGGUCUGAGAGGAUGACCAGCCACACUGGAACUGAGACACGGUCCAGACUCCUACGGGAGGCAGCAGUGGGGAAUAUUGCACAAUGGGCGCAAGCCUGAUGCAGCCAUGCCGCGUGUAUGAAGAAGGCCUUCGGGUUGUAAAGUA